RNAcentral lists this long non-coding RNA (848 nucleotides) under Salmo salar (Atlantic salmon). Its description in RNAcentral is "lncRNA (ENSSSAG00000113791.1)". Lineage: Eukaryota; Metazoa; Chordata; Actinopteri; Salmoniformes; Salmonidae. The record is from RNAcentral.
UGGCAAUGAGCAGGGGGGUGGAAUCAGUGCAGUGGAUGCUAAUUCACUUAAAUGCCUACCCUCUUGAUGGAAGAUGGGAAAUGCUUGGCCUAAAAAGAAAAGCCCUGGCGCAAAAAUGUGUGGACAGAAUCUUUUUCCAUUUUUCUGUGUUGGCAAACGUACAUGUCCAAACAUACAUUUUGUCAGCGGUAAAAAGGUGUAUUUCUAUGAGAAGCUUUGGAGGUGGAAUAGCGGCUUUUUUUUAGGCCCAACGAAGAGAAAUAAAUUGUUUCAUCUUCACACUGCAAUUCAUCACUAAGAGGUGUGAAUCUUCUUAGGGCCACAGAUCAGAGAAAAAAUCCACUCCCCACUGAGAGACAACGGAACGAUUUCCUAUCGGUUCCCAAGAUCCAAACGGAGUGAAACUUUUGGAGGGGGAGUUAACCAGGCUGUGACGCUAACACCUGCAUCAGUAUCAGUAACCAUGGAGAUGAUGACUUCCACAGUGAAUUAUCUUCUAUCCAUCGAUAUUAAGGCAGCUUGCAGAGAGGCGUCAACCAAUGAGAAGUCGGCGCCAGGCACGAGGAGGACGGGGCAUUCACAAGCGUUGAAUAAUAAUAAAAAAUGAGUCUCUCUCUGCUGCAUUCCCCUCCGCUAGAGGCUUGUCUAUGCCAUCAGAGAGGUGUAACUCUCUGGAGCAGCUGGCUCCUAUGGUAAACUGCAUCUCAAAGAGCACUGCUAUGAUUUGGUUGAAUAUGAUUUCUCAGAUCAUAGCAUCACAUUCUCUAGGACAUACUUAUUUUCCCCUAAUGUUUUUUAGAAAGAUUAAAAGUGGAUAUGGCACAAUUAAUAAAAUAAAGAACACUUCA